Molecule: ribosomal RNA, 789 nt
Filed under: uncultured bacterium
Lineage: Bacteria
Description: bacterial SSU rRNA
Rfam family: Bacterial small subunit ribosomal RNA
Source: RNAcentral
AGAGUUUGAUCAUGGCUCAGGACGAACGCUGGCGGCGUGCUUAACACAUGCAAGUCGCGCGAUUCUCGAAGUUCGGGGUUGGGAGUUCGAACCUCGAACUUCGAACCUCGAACUUCGAGAAUAGCGGCGGACGGGUGAGUAACACGUGGAUAACCUACCCAUUAGACCGGGAUAACACCGGGAAACUGGUGCUAAUACCGGAUAAGCUCUUUAGAGUAAAAGCCUUAAAGAGGAAAGGGGAAACUCACUAAUGGAUGGGUCCGCGUCCUAUUAGCUAGUUGGUAGGGUAACGGCCUACCAAGGCGACGAUGGGUGGCCGGCCUGAGAGGGUGACCGGCCACACUGGGACUGAGACACGGCCCAGACUCCUACGGGAGGCAGCAGUGGGGAAUAUUCCGCAAUGGGGGAAACCCUGACGGAGCAAUGCCGCGUGAGUGAAGAAGGCCUUUGGGUCGUAAAACUCUGUCUUGAGGGACGAAAAAAAUGACGGUACCUCAAAAGAAAGCCCCGGCUAACUACGUGCCAGCAGCCGCGGUAAAACGUAGGGGGCGAGCGUUGUCCGGAAUUACUGGGCGUAAAGGGCGUGUAGGCGGCCUGUGUAGUCAAGUGGUGAAAACCCGGGGCUUAACUUCGGGAUGGCCCUUGAAACCAACAGGCUUGAGGACAGGAGAGGGGAGUGGAAUUUCCGGUGUAGCGGUGAAAUGCGUAGAUACCGGAAGGAACACCAGUGGCGAAGGCGGCUCCCUGGACUGGUCCUGACGCUGAGGCGCGAAAGCGUGGGGAGCAAAC